Long non-coding RNA from Scylla paramamosain (green mud crab), 2222 nucleotides. RefSeq lists it as uncharacterized. The record is from RefSeq and is a predicted model, not a curated record. The transcript has 2 exons. Lineage: Eukaryota; Metazoa; Arthropoda; Malacostraca; Decapoda; Portunidae.
CUUUAUGUCUCCUCGUAUCCUCCAGGCACCAAGAGUGUACCGCAGCCAGAUUGUGAACAAGUCCAGCCCCAUUUCUAGCCAACUCAGCACAGGUGUCAUCUUUGUACCUGCAACAAUUUCCACAAAAAUAAUGGAAACACUGACCAUCUCUCAACAUGGAGGCUGUUGAAGAGGAUGCGGGCAGCUCUCCUGGUUAGCAGCUUAAAUCCACAUUGUGUGUCCCGCACACCCCGCACGGCAAACAGCCAUACUAAGGCAUGGAAGCCGUACAUGAGCACUGUACGAAAGAAUGAGCGCGUGGCCACCGACUCCUCCUCCAGGUGAGCCCGAGAGCCACAGGACACCGCCAGUGCAUCACUCAGCUCUCUUUCCUCUGACAGCAAGAUUAUUAGUUAGGUUGCUGAAAACUUACUUCAUGCUGCCUACUAACAUGCUGCACAUGAAUACCAAACAAGAUUAGAUGAAAAAGUUUACCCAUGAUUCUUUUUUCUGCCAAAUAAUGAGACACAGGCAUUAACAAUCUAUAAAGAAUUUCUACAGCAAAAAAUAUAAAUAUCAAGGAAAUUAAUACUUGCCUUUACAAUGGAUUUAAAUGUAACAUACUGUCAAACAAGGACACUCUGGCCUUAAUUAAUUUUAAGUAAAGAAAAUGACCAAUUAUAAAUUUAUGAAAUUAUCAAUUCUAAAACUGGUAAUUGGGGGAAUCUUUUCAUCAAAAUAUCAAUAAUAAAAAGAUGUUCCAUUUAGCUUCCCUCUAAAAUCAUAGUCAUACAAUUUUUUGUUAUAUACAUACAAUACUAUCAAUCUGAAGACUUUUUGAGCCUAAAAAGACUGAGCAUCAAACUUUGAUAACCCAGGCCAAAGAGCCAGUCAAACCUUUGCACUUAUUCCUCAGGCCCUCCUCCACUCGGUCAUACUCAGAGAAGGUAGUGGCCCCAUCAGCAUCGGCAAAGAGCAACAACUUUCCUCGCCCCCGAAACAUCCCCUGAAAACAACAAUCUUUACUUCAAUGUCACUGUUCUCUUCACUGCAUUUCCUGCAAGAGUGGUGUAGAGAUCCAACCUCAGCAGAAUUAAUGGCAUGAGCUGGACUAUUAGACCAGUAAUUAAUAUUAACAAAAAUAUGAUCACAAAAGACAUGCUUCUCAAGGUAUUUAAUCAGUAGAGAAGCAGUAAAUAGUAACAGACUUCACUUGGGUCACCAGUAGUCAUUUAUAGCACAUCAGUGUUUGAAUUGUGAUUACUAACAAUAUUACUAUUUACCAUAUUACCUGGUUCCUGCAGAUCAAUUUUUUUUUUAUCAGAAAAUGUAGGCUUUUACCUCUCUCUCUCUCUCUCUCUCUCUCUGUUGGUUAGUGAUUCAUUCUACUACAACUGCAGUUUUUACAAUUAGUAUUUACCAUUCUAACUGCUCCUCCUUUCCCUCUAUUCCAAGCCAGCGUAAGAACGCGAACUUUCUCACAGCCAAACUUCUUGCUGUAACCCAUUGCAACCUCAGUGGUUUUGUCUUUACUACCAUCAUCAACAAUGAUCAUCUCAUAGGUGAAGGUAUUGUCUUUCUUCACCUUCUCCUCCAGAUACGUCAGACUCUCCUCCAGCAUCACAGGCACUGAGAGAAGAUGGAUUAUCAAACGAUUUUCAUGCCGAAACAAAUUUUGAUGAAACAUGGAACUAUGAACAAAUAAACAAUAAGAGGCUUUUUAAACAUUAGCAGCCAAAUAGUAAUUGAACAAUUAUAAUGAUUCAAAAUACUAAAUAAAAAAAAUGGAGCUGAAAAUUUAUCAAUUUUAAAAUCACAAAUGUGCAAAAUGUAGAUCAUCAUACAUAAAUAAUGGGAAUUCAUUAUCACAAAUACCAUGAAGUUCUAUACUAUGAAAAGCAACAAACAACAGUAAAACCUCCAGGCCCUCACAUCUCUUUUCCUCAUUGUAAGCCGGCACCACAACAGUCAGGGAUAUGCUUGGCUUGUCAGUGAUAGACGGGAAAGGCAACUUCUUCCCACUGGAGGGAUCGCUGAAGAAAUCCUCAGAUUCAUGGGAGGCAAUUGACGGGAAUGUCUCACUCAUUAAGUAGAUCCCCACACAUAUCUGUACAUGGCAAGGAUGAAAAGUGUUGGCUUUUAAGAUUAAAUAUGUGCAAGAAAAUCCUAAUAACAUUAAGCUUAGUAUGUACUGUGCGUGUAUUUUCAAAGAAAAUGAAUCCAAUAAAGAAUUUAUCCAUCAA